Molecule: ribosomal RNA, 492 nt
Filed under: uncultured bacterium
Lineage: Bacteria
Description: partial 16S ribosomal RNA
Rfam family: Bacterial small subunit ribosomal RNA
Source: RNAcentral
AGUGAACGCUGGCGGUAGGCCUAACACAUGCAAGUCGAACGGCAGCACAGUAAGAGCUUGCUCUUACGGGUGGCGAGUGACGGACGGGUGAGGAAUACAUCGGAAUCUACUUUUUCGUGGGGGAUAACGUAGGGAAACUUACGCUAAUACCGCAUACGACCUACGGGUGAAAUCAGGGGAUCUUCGGACCUUGCCCGAUUGAAUGAGCCGAUGUGGGAUUAGCUAGUUGGCGGGGUAAAGGCCCACCAAGCCGACGAUCCGUAGCUGGUCUGAGAGGAUGAUCGGCACCACUGGAACUGAGACACGGUCCAGACUCCUACGGGAGGCAGAGGUGGGGAAUAUUGGACAAUGGGCGCAAGCCUGAUCCAGCCAUACCGCGUGGGUGAAGAAGGCCUUCGGGUUGUAAAGCCCUUUUGUUGGGAAAGAAAAGCAGCAGGUUAAUACCCCGCUGUUCUGACGGUACCCAAAGAAUAAGCACCGGCUAACUUCGUG